Molecule: long non-coding RNA, 423 nt
Organism: Populus euphratica (Euphrates poplar)
Lineage: Eukaryota; Viridiplantae; Streptophyta; Magnoliopsida; Malpighiales; Salicaceae
Exons: 2
Source: RefSeq, a predicted model, not a curated record
ACAACUUCAACGAGAAUUUCAGAGGCUGCAAGAGCACGUUCUUGCUUAGAAGGAUUGCAAGGAGCUGCAGCUGGGUGCAUAACAGGUCCUCUUUGUCCAAGGAGUUCGUGUUGUUUUCUGGAGCUACAUCGUCCUUUACCUUGGCAACUUCUUCGUCGUCUACUACAAGUUUGAAAUAAGGUUCCAGUGGAGAAAUCUUUGUACAGCUGCUGGGGUUUAUGGGAAACGAUGAAAGUGAUUACGUAAUAUAUUAUGGAAUCUCAAAGUUGGUUUUAAUGUGAAUUUCAUUUGGAAUGUGUUUGCAAAUAUUUAGUUCUUUACUUAACAGUGUGAAAAUGGAACACAUUCAUUCUCCAAAUCAAAAAAUUAUGCCAGUACUUGCUUAUUUUGCUACAGAAUUUAAUUAAAAACACAUGUAAUUUA